CAAUAGCGUAUAUUAAAGUUGUUGCAGUUAAAAAGCUCGUAGUUGGAUUUGUGGCGUACGGUGUGUUCCGGGCACUUGUUGUCUGAGUAACCUGCUGUUGCCAUCCUUGGGUGGAACCUGUGUGGCAUUAGGUUGUCGUGCAGGGGAUGCCCAUCAUUUACUGUGAAAAAAUUAGAGUGUUCAAAGCAGGCUUAUGCCGUUGAAUAUAUUAGCAUGGAAUAAUGAGAUAGGACUUUUUUGCUAUUUUGUUGGUUUGCGCAAGAAGGUAAUGAUUAAUAGGGACAGUUGGGGGUAUUCGUAGUCCAUUGUCAGAGGUGAAAUUCUUGGAUUUUUGGAAGACGAACUACUGCGAAAGCAUUUACCAAGGAUGUUUUCAUUAA
Molecule: ribosomal RNA, 380 nt
Filed under: uncultured eukaryote
Lineage: Eukaryota
Description: partial 18S ribosomal RNA
Rfam family: Eukaryotic small subunit ribosomal RNA
Source: RNAcentral